Molecule: RNA transcript, 2774 nt
Organism: Hevea brasiliensis (rubber tree)
Lineage: Eukaryota; Viridiplantae; Streptophyta; Magnoliopsida; Malpighiales; Euphorbiaceae
Gene name: loganic acid O-methyltransferase
Exons: 3
Source: RefSeq, a predicted model, not a curated record
GUUAAUUAAUGUACCUAGUCACUUGCGGCCUCGACUCUUAUUUCUAUUUACCACGGACCGGCGCCCACCCAAAUCUCCUCUUGCAUCUAGUCUGCAAUCUGCUCUUUCCUUCUUUGACGUCGCCAGUCGCCUCCUAUCGCUUUGAAGGAUGGGCUGCAUCAUCUUUCUUGCCUUCCCUUGCCUCAUGCUUCUCGCGGUCUCCUCUUCUCCAAUAAUUCAAAUCGCUGCCAUGAUCAAAGCCUGAUGUUAUGCCUCCCCUUCCUCUUCCUUGCUUCAAGCUCUCAUGAUCUUAACCUCUAACUAUCAAUGUUCCUUCAAUUCAAUUCCUCUACAACUUUGGGAUUCUUAUAUUUGGAGGAAGGUCAAUCAACUUACUCUUAUCGGCCCUUGACUUUUUCUAUGAAAAUUACUAUAUGAUAGGUUGUAUGUAACUGGGAGAAAUUUUUGCUUAGACCCUUCCUCAUCUAACUGGGAUUCGCAUAUUUGCGUAUCAUAGAACAGCUAAAUUUUGUAUUAAUGCCUUGAAUUGUGGGUGACGGCCACUGAUCAGGGAGUUUACAGGAACGUUUCACUCAUCAAGGCGAAUUGUUUUCUCCUAAACUUCUAUGAUGGGAGCUUUCGUUUAUCCGGACGUGCCCCUCAACGUUGCCGAAUUGUUUUGGCUGCUCGUGAGGUGUUUGUUGUUUUGUUUAAAUGAAGCGUUGACGCUGAUGCAUGUCCGGGUGUGUACAGGUUAAGGCUAACGGUAAGGAAUAUUCUUGUUUCGCUAAUCUUGGAGCCAAAUAAUGUGUAAUUAUGAGAAGUUUGAGAACAUAGCGUCAUUGCUUGCGACUAACAGGUUCUUUAUAGUGACACUUUAGUGUUUAGGGACAGAGAAGUCAGGGAAUCUUAUCAAAUGCGCUGCAAAAAGGUUCCAUCAAUAAUCAAUUUAGCCAUUGUUAAUAUGCAAGAUCCAUUCUGUUUCCAGGGAGUGGUAAAUGCUUUUGGUUGCUUUUGAGUCCUCCAAUUUGUUUAUUGUAAUUCUGUUCAAACCUUUUGCUCUUUCUCUCUCUCUCUGGGGUUACUUGUAGAGGAUUGGAUCAACUGUUAUAUAGCCUCACGCCCUCAUGCGCAUGCUCAUGCUCAUGUGUUCACUACUUGGAACUCUUUCUUUGCAUCUACAGAGAAAACAAGUAAAAACUCGAAGGCAAAGAUGCCAAAAUGGGAGACAGAUUCACCUGCAAUGGUUGGUGGAAAUGGCGUUUACAGCUAUUACAGGAACUCUUACUAUCAGGUAUGACAAGCGGCGAAGCUUCGAAGGAGAGCCGAAAGCGGAAGAAGGAGGUCUCCCGGAAGGUGCGGGAGAUGAAGUGUUCCGAGCUGCUUCAAACGCCCGGUCAUGAACCUAGGGAAAUACAAGGAGGCUCAUCUCAACCCUCGGGACCGCCGGUCAUAGAAGUGGUUCGAUCUCCUCCUCGCCAAAAGGAGCCGCCUCCACCUCCUCCAAUCGCUUCGAGUGCGGAAGGGGGUCCUUCCCAACCUCCUGUAAGGACCCUUUCCCGUGGUGCCCAAAUCUUGAUUCAUUCGCUGGAGUAGAACCGCACGGUUCGAGAGAACCCGGGUUUUGCUAAGGUCUUGGGGUCCUCCAUCUGCCUCUGGGAGGAUCAGGAUAGGCUGUCUCUGGAAAAUCUUGAUGACAUCCUGACCCGAUCCAUGAGCCUGAACGUGGAGUGUUUGGUGAAUCAGCACAUCGUUCGGGAGAAGGCUCACCGCCUGGGUAAGGAGGUUGAGAAGAUGGGGCAUGAAGUGGCUUCCCUCCGAUCCCAACUCUCAUCCGCUCAGAACUACAUAUUUGAAAUUGAGGGGCGGAUGAAGUUCUACGAGGACAAGCUGGCCAAGCAAGCUCAUGUUCUGGCCGAGCGAGAUCAUGUUCUUGAGGAAGUUCAGGCGCUUCGAGCCGGUGAAGUUGCUCACCUCACUGAGGAGCUCAAAGCGAAAGAGGAAGAGGCGGUAACAAGGGAGGCCGGCGCUUAUGUAAAUGCUCACAGGGACCUCUUGGCCGAGCUCAAGAAGCGUUAUCCCGAGGAGGACUUUUCUGGAUGGUCGACCUGGCUCCCCAAGACGAAGAGGAAAGCGAGGAGGAGGCUGAGGGUGAGAGAGGAAGUGAGCAAAAUGUAGAUCAGGCUGGGGGUGAUCCUCCAGCCGAAUGACUUGUAUAAACUUUAAUAUGAAAUGAAAUUUCCUUUUUUGUUCAGUGAACGGAUGUGAUCGGAAAAUCUCUAAAUUACUUAAGCACUUGAUUGUCUGAGCAUAUUAAAACAACUAAAAGUUAUUAUUAAUCUAAGUGUAAGAGGUCGAAAGACACAAUAAGCAUGAGAUCGGCAGGGAACCAACGCUAAACGGUACUUGAUUAAAAUUGGAAAUUUGGCUUGAACACUUAAGAUCGGGAUCAUCAUUAAACCGGAUUGGAACCUUAACUUUAUUAUUCCCAAACUUUUAAAUGAAAGAUCGGCAAUAAGACUGGUGUCACGAAGGCCUAAUGUUGGUUCAAUUUCGUUUGUCAAGAGAGAUCGGGAAUGUAAUUGACUAGUCAGGAGAUUUGACAAUUGGUUUGAGAGGUCGGUGAGGCUUUAAAUGACAUGGGGACUUAGUAUUGAUUCGAUUCCUUUCGAGGAGAGGUCGGAAAUGUGGUUGUCCGGCAAAGAGAGAUCGGAAAUAUAAUUGGCUGGCAAAGGGAGACCUAGUGCUGGAGAUUGGUUUCGAAAUUUAUUGAUUCCGGGGAUCGGCCAAAAUAU